UUGACGAAAUGGCAAAACCGUUGUAAAGCGGUGACGCAAAGCCAUAGGGUCCUCAGCAAGAGGAUAGCCUGGUUACCGAA
RNAcentral lists this non-coding RNA (80 nucleotides) under Candidatus Omnitrophota bacterium. Its description in RNAcentral is "Omnitrophica WOR c-di-GMP sequence". It matches the Rfam family "c-di-GMP-I riboswitch aptamer". From Rfam's summary of the family: GEMM was predicted in a large-scale screen for bacterial structured RNA regulatory elements. Genes associated with GEMM are involved in a diverse array of functions, including chemotaxis regulation, signal transduction, secretion and chitin. The record is from RNAcentral. Lineage: Bacteria; Pseudomonadati; Candidatus Omnitrophota.